CUGAGGCAAGCCAGGCAUCUCGUCAUGAGAUUACUGGAGCAGUCUUGUGGAGACGCCUAAGUAGAGGGGAACCAAUGUCACCUUGUCAACCAUAAACCAUGAGACCUGCUGCAAAGGCCUAUUUGUGUCGCAGAGCAAGAUUCUCAAAAGCCUUUGUGAGGGCCGGGCCCGGCCUUCCUCAGAGAACUGCAGAACACGAACACGAGGGACAGAACCUGCAGGGGGAGCCAGGGCCGUGCCAGUGAGAACAAGGCGAAAGCAGAGGUCUACAUACAUGCAUAAGCUUGAGGAUGGAUAUCAGUCUUCCAUGCACCUAUUUACUGACCAUCUAAAAAACAUUACGUGGCUUGAGUCACCUGGAUUAUUGCCUCGGACUUCGAAAUGUCCUGUCGGCAGACUCUCUCAUCCUCUCUCGUGGACCAGGAGAGAGAGAGCGUGAGCAGGGGAGGGGCAGAGAGAGAAGGAGACACAGAAUCUGAAGCAGGCUCCAGGGCCCGAACUGUCAGCACAGAGUCCGAUGCGGGGCUUGAACUCACGAGCUGGGAGAUCAUGACCUGAGCCGAAGUUGGACGGUUAAUCAACUGAGCCACCCAGGUGCCUCUACAGUGUCUUAUAAAUACAUUUUUAAACACAUGGUAGUGUAUUACAUGCUUCAGUCUUCACUUUGAUUUUUCUGUCUUCAUAUUUUUCACUUGUUUGGGGGAAUUUUCCAUAAUUAGAUGUAAAAAUCUUCCUCAUUCUCUUGAACAGGACUUUAGUGAACGGAUACAUUAUAUGUUAACCAGUAUUAUACUGAUGGGCUUUCCUGUGGUUUCUAGUCUUUUGCUAUUAUAAACAGUGUUACAAAAAUCAAUCUUGGACACAUCAUUUCAUAUGUGUGUGAGUCUUUGUGUAGGAUAGAUACCUAGAGGCAGUUUUGAUUUUAAUAAAUAUUGCCAAGUUGUCUACAGACACUCUUACAACAGACACUCUUACAGCCUCAACGACAUAUUAAACAUUGAGUUUUUUUUUUUCAAUUUGAUAGGUGAAAAACAGUACCU
Long non-coding RNA from Panthera uncia (snow leopard), 1040 nucleotides. RefSeq lists it as uncharacterized. NCBI's taxonomy places the organism in Eukaryota, Metazoa, Chordata, Mammalia, Carnivora, Felidae. The record is from RefSeq and is a predicted model, not a curated record. The transcript has 5 exons.